CCUACGGGGGGCUGCAGUGGGGAAUAUUGGACAAUGGGCGAAAGCCUGAUCCAGCCAUGCCGCGUGUGUGAAGAAGGCCUUCGGGUUGUAAAGCACUUUCAGUGGGGAAGAAAGCCUUGGGGCUAAUACCCUCGAGGAAGGACAUUACCCACAGAAGAAGCACCGGCUAACUCCGUGCCAGCAGCCGCGGUAAUACGGAGGGUGCGAGCGUUAAUCGGAAUUACUGGGCGUAAAGCGCGCGUAGGCGGUCUGAUAAGCCGGUUGUGAAAGCCCCGGGCUCAACCUGGGAACGGCAUCCGGAACUGUCAGGCUAGAGUGCAGGAGAGGAAGGUAGAAUUCCCGGUGUAGCGGUGAAAUGCGUAGAGAUCGGGAGGAAUACCAGUGGCGAAGGCGGCCUUCUGGACUGACACUGACGCUGAGGUGCGAAAGCGUGGGUAGCAAACAGGAUUAGAUACCCCUGUAGUC
This 465-nucleotide ribosomal RNA is filed under the name Vreelandella stevensii. Its description in RNAcentral is "partial 16S ribosomal RNA". It matches the Rfam family "Bacterial small subunit ribosomal RNA", at positions 338 to 795 of the family's 1533-position model. The record is from RNAcentral. Lineage: Bacteria; Pseudomonadati; Pseudomonadota; Gammaproteobacteria; Oceanospirillales; Halomonadaceae.